UACGUAGGGCGCAAGCGUUGUCCGGAAUUAUUGGGCGUAAAGAGCUCGUAGGCGGUUUGUCGCGUCUGUCGUGAAAGCCCAGGGCUUAACCCUGGGUCUGCGGUGGAUACGGGCAGACUAGAGGCAGGUAGGGGAGAACGGAAUUCCCGGUGUAGCGGUGAAAUGCGCAGAUAUCGGGAGGAACACCGGUGGCGAAGGCGGUUCUCUGGGCCUGUACUGACGCUGAGGAGCGAAAGCGUGGGGAGCGAACAGG
This 253-nucleotide ribosomal RNA is filed under the name uncultured bacterium. RNAcentral's name for it is "partial 16S ribosomal RNA". It matches the Rfam family "Bacterial small subunit ribosomal RNA", at positions 524 to 776 of the family's 1533-position model. The record is from RNAcentral.